GCAGAGUCAGUGCCGGUCGGUCUUGUGGGCUGAGGGUUAGCGGCUAGGCUAGCGGCGUCUGCAGGGGUCGCCGAGCUAACCGGUGGCUAGGCGAGUGGGGCGGGGCGGCCGGCACCAUGUCGAGGCAGGCGAACCGUGGCACCGAGAGCAAGAAAAUGGUCCAGAUGGCUGUGGAGGCCAAGUUUGUCCAGGACACCCUGAAAGGAGACGGUGUGACAG
This 219-nucleotide small RNA is filed under the name Pongo abelii (Sumatran orangutan). RNAcentral's name for it is "processed transcript". The record is from RNAcentral. Lineage: Eukaryota; Metazoa; Chordata; Mammalia; Primates; Hominidae.